CGAUCCCAUCCCGAACUCGGCAGUUAAGUGCUACUGCGCCAAUGGUACUGCGUCUUAAGACGUGGGAGAGUAGGUCACCGCCAAUC
RNAcentral lists this ribosomal RNA (86 nucleotides) under Roseobacter sp. Lineage: Bacteria; Pseudomonadati; Pseudomonadota; Alphaproteobacteria; Rhodobacterales; Roseobacteraceae. The record is from RNAcentral.